This 64-nucleotide transfer RNA is filed under the name Ipomoea nil (Japanese morning glory). It matches the Rfam family "tRNA". From Rfam's summary of the family: Transfer RNA (tRNA) molecules are approximately 80 nucleotides in length. Their secondary structure includes four short double-helical elements and three loops (D, anti-codon, and T loops). The record is from Rfam by way of RNAcentral. Lineage: Eukaryota; Viridiplantae; Streptophyta; Magnoliopsida; Solanales; Convolvulaceae.
GCAUUGGUGGUGAGUAUUCCCGCCUGUCACGCGGGAGACCUGGGUUCGAUCCCCGGCAAAAGCG